RNAcentral lists this transfer RNA (72 nucleotides) under Marmota monax (woodchuck). RNAcentral describes it as "tRNA.Val". The stretch from base 11 to 67 matches the Rfam family "tRNA", at positions 8 to 63 of the family's 71-position model. From Rfam's summary of the family: Transfer RNA (tRNA) molecules are approximately 80 nucleotides in length. Their secondary structure includes four short double-helical elements and three loops (D, anti-codon, and T loops). Lineage: Eukaryota; Metazoa; Chordata; Mammalia; Rodentia; Sciuridae. The record is from RNAcentral.
GUUGGGGAGAUAGCUCAGUGGUAGAGCAUUUACCUAACAUGCAUGAGGUCCUGGGUUCAAUCCCCAGCAACA